AUUGAACGCUGGCGGCAUGCCUUACACAUGCAAGUCGAACGGUAACGGGCCUUCGGGUGCCGACGAGUGGCGAACGGGUGAGUAAUACAUCGGAACGUGCCCGAUCGUGGGGGAUAACGAGGCGAAAGCUUUGCUAAUACCGCAUACGAUCUACGGAUGACAGCAGGGGACCGCAAGGCCUUGCGCGGACGGAGCGGCCGAUGGCAGAUUAGGUAGUUGGUGGGAUAAAAGCUUACCAAGCCGACGAUCUGUAGCUGGUCUGAGAGGAUGAUCAGCCACACUGGAACUGAGACACGGCCCAGACUCCUACGGGAGGCAGCAGUGGGGAAUUUUGGACAAUGGGCGCAAGCCUGAUCCAGCCAUGCCGCGUGCAGGAUGAAGGCCUUCGGGUUGUAAACUGCUUUUGUACGGAACGAAAAGCCUUCUUUUAAUACAGGAGGGUCAUGACGGUACCGGAAGAAUAAGCACCGGCUAACUACGUG
RNAcentral lists this ribosomal RNA (482 nucleotides) under uncultured bacterium. Its description in RNAcentral is "partial 16S ribosomal RNA". It matches the Rfam family "Bacterial small subunit ribosomal RNA", at positions 30 to 507 of the family's 1533-position model. The record is from RNAcentral.